This 1264-nucleotide ribosomal RNA is filed under the name metagenome. RNAcentral's name for it is "SSU rRNA". It matches the Rfam family "Eukaryotic small subunit ribosomal RNA", at positions 526 to 1782 of the family's 1831-position model. The record is from RNAcentral.
UAAACGGACCAUCGAGUAUCCAUUGGAGGGCAAGUCUGGUGCCAGCAGCUGCGGUAAUACCAGCUCCAAUAGCGUAUAUUAAAGUUGUUGCAGUUAAAAAGCUCGUAGUUGGACUUGUGUGCGCUGUCCGCGGGUGGCCUGCGCCCAAAAGGGCGUUUCGGUUCGGCCCCGGUGGCGCCUUGAAAUCUGCAGCUGGGGGGACGUUGGCCUUAACUGGUCGGCGACCGCACGCCGGCUGCUCGGUUACUGUGAGAAAAUUAGAGUGUUCAAGGCAGGCAUUGGGUGCAAUUGAAUACAUUAGCAUGGAAUAAUAAAAUAUGGCUCCUGCCGUAUUUUGUUGGUUUUGACUGGUGGGAGUAAUGAUUGAUAGGGACGGUUGGGGGUGCUAGUAUUGAGCGGCCAGAGGUGAAAUUCAUGGAUUCGCUCAAGACUAACUUAUGCGAAAGCAUUCACCAAGGACGUCCUCUUUAAUCAAGAACGAAAGUUGGGGGAUCGAAGACGAUCAGAUACCGUCGUAGUCUCAACCAUAAACUAUGUCGACUUGGGAUCGGCGGUAGUUUUUUCAUUAAGACACUGUCGGGACCACGGGAGAAAUCAAAGUGUCUGGACUCUGGGGGAAGUAUGGUCGCAAGGCUGAAACUUGAAGGAAUUGACGGAAGGGCACCACCAGGAGUGGAGCCUGCGGCUUAAUUUGACCCAACACGGGGAAACUUACCAGGUCCAGAGAUGUAGAGGAUUGACAGAUUGAAGCUCUUUCUUGAUCACUUCGGUGGUGGUGCAUGGCCGUUCUUAGUUGGUGGAGUGAUAUGUCUGGUUAAUUCCGUUAACGAACGAGACCUCAGCCUGCUAGUGUAGUCGGCUGGAUUGCCUUUGGCGAUCCGUGAUUUCGACUUCUUAGAGGGACAAUCGACGCGCAGUCGAUGGAAGUUUGAGGCAAUAACAGGUCUGUGAUGCCCUUAGAUGUUCUGGGCCGCACGCGCGCUACACUGCUGGGCUCAGCGAGUUUUACUUGGCCGAGAGGCCCGGUUAAUCUUGUGAAAUCCCAGCGUGCUUGGGCUCGCCUCCUGCAACUGGAGGCGCCAACGAGGAAUUCCUAGUAGACGCAGGUCAUCAACCUGCAUCGAUUACGUCCCUGCCCUUUGUACACACCGCCCGUCGUUCCAUAAGAGUGAGGCAUCCGGUGAAUUCUCGGGAGAGCCUGGGCGUGGCCAGCAAUGGUCUGCUCGGGUUUGAACUUGCAUAAACUUGGUGCCUAUGAUUAGUG